Molecule: ribosomal RNA, 500 nt
Filed under: uncultured bacterium
Lineage: Bacteria
Description: partial 16S ribosomal RNA
Rfam family: Bacterial small subunit ribosomal RNA
Source: RNAcentral
AUUGAACGCUGGCGGAAUGCUUUACACAUGCAAGUCGAACGGCAGCACGGACUUCGGUCUGGUGGCGAGUGGCGAACGGGUGAGUAACAUAUCGGAACGUAUCCAAUAAUGGGGGAUAACGAGUCGAAAGAUUCGCUAAUACCGCAUACGCCCUACGGGGGAAAGCUGGGGACCUUCGGGCCUGGCGUUAAUGGAGCGGCCGAUAUCUGAUUAGCUAGUCGGUGAGGUAAAGGCUAACCAAGGAGACGAUCAGUAGCUGGUCUGAGAGGACGACCAGCCACACUGGAACUGAGACACGGUCCAGACUCCUACGGGAGGCAGCAGUGGGGAAUUUUGGACAAUGGGCGCAAGCCUGAUCCAGCCAUUCCGCGUGAGUGAAGAAGGCCUUCGGGUUGUAAAGCUCUUUCGCAAGGGAAGAAAACUUAGCCACUAACAUUGGUUGAGGUUGACGGUACCUUGAUAAGAAGCACCGGCUAACUACGUGCCAGCAGCCGCCGUAA